Molecule: ribosomal RNA, 301 nt
Filed under: uncultured bacterium
Lineage: Bacteria
Description: partial 16S ribosomal RNA
Rfam family: Bacterial small subunit ribosomal RNA
Source: RNAcentral
CAGCCGCCACGGUAAUACGUAGGGGGCAAGCGUUAUCCGGAUUUACUGGGUGUAAAGGGAGCGUAGACGGAAUGGCAAGUCUGAAGUGAAAUACCCGGGCUCAACCUGGGAACUGCUUUGGAAACUGUUGUUCUAGAGUGUUGGAGAGGUAAGUGGAAUUCCUGGUGUAGCGGUGAAAUGCGUAGAUAUCAGGAAGAACACCGGAGGCGAAGGCGGCUUACUGGACAAUAACUGACGUUGAGGCUCGAAAGCGUGGGGACCAAACAGGAUUAGAUACCCCAGUAGUCCCUGUCUCUUAUAC